This is a long non-coding RNA of Poecilia latipinna (sailfin molly), 731 nucleotides long. RefSeq lists it as uncharacterized. NCBI's taxonomy places the organism in Eukaryota, Metazoa, Chordata, Actinopteri, Cyprinodontiformes, Poeciliidae. The record is from RefSeq and is a predicted model, not a curated record. The transcript has 2 exons.
CGCCGCAUUAGCUCUGGCUGUGCAGCUCAACGUGAACUGCAGGAAUAACUUGUAGUGGUGCUUUCAGAGGUGCGGGUUGAGCGAGUGGUGAGAAUGAUUUAUCUUUGUGAACAAACAAUUAUGCACCAUUUACAUCUCAACCUGCUGCUCAGCGUGUGGCUCUGUCUACCUGUAGCACAGGUGUCAAACUCCAGUCCUCAAGGGCUGGUGUCCUGCAACUUUUAGAUGUGCCUCUGCUGCACCAAACCUGAAUAGAAUAUAGGUCAUUAGCAAGGAGAACUGAGCUACACAAGGAGGAGGUAAUUAAACCAUUUCAUUCCAGUGUUUUGUACCUGUGGCACAUCUAAAAACUGCAGGACAGUGGAGGACUGGAGUUUGUCACCCCUACUGUAAAGUUCAUGUCUGUGUUCCAAGUUGGUCAGAGCGUUAGUGGUUAACGAACCAGCGCUAACCUCAUCAUGCAGGUUCAGCCCGGUGAGGAGAUUUUGCGCUCUCCUCGUAGUCACUCAUCACUACACUACUAUAUGAUUUUAUUAUUAUUUUUAGUAUUAGUUUUCUAGGUGCACUAAGCAUCAAACCGUAUCAAAUGCUUUGUCCACUUAGUCAGCCAGAGUUAAUGUGCAUGGAGAUCUGAGAAACUCAUCCCUUAAAACUCGAGCAACCAAAACAUUUUCUGUGACUCUUACUAAAAACUCAACAAACACGAAAUUGAAGAGCAACUUGGAGCCAAA